UUUAACUUACUGUUUUCAGUUAUUAGGAUCCUCAGAAAGGACAUAACCUGGACUUUCCCUUCCUCUCUCAUCCUGAUUCUAAUAGCAUCUGUAACUGGAUUAAAAAUCUUUUCUUUCAGGAGGCCAUCCAGGCUUUAAGCUCACAAGAAAUCUUCUCCUGCGAGAGGAGAGAGGGACCCCCCGGAAGGGGCUGGAGGCUCUCCCUCCUGCGAGAGGAGAGAGGGACCCCCCGGAAGGGGCUGGAGGCUCUCCCUCUCAACAGGGACAGGAAGAAACUGAAAGCUGGAAUUCAUAACCAUUCCCUUACUCAAGUCCUUACAGGCUGUACAGUAUACCCAGAAAGCCACCCAUAAGCUUGUCCCUGUACAACCCUUCCAGCCCAAGGACUCGGUAUAGGUAAAGAAGUUCACUGCCCAAGGACUCACCCCAACCUGGAAGGGAUGCUACACUGUUAUCCUGAGCACGCCCACGGCUGUUGAAGUAGACGGCGUCCAGACCUGGCUACACCACUCCCAGCUCCUGCACCAGGAAACGGCCUAGAUCCUGGCAACCAGCGGCCUCACCCGUGAGAUCCCUAGCCUGGGCUCCACGCAGGCCAGGAGGAAACUCAACACCUGCAGGAGAAGAACUGGAAUUCACUGUGGACAGUACUGUUGGGGACUGUAGUACUAAAGGCCUUAACCAGAAGUAAAAGACAAAGUAAAAAUACAAACCGUCUCAUGAUUGAGCCGGGUGUCCCAAGACAAGGGGGGAAUGAAAGGGCAGAGCAGGACAGCACAAAAUGUACUGUACCCUCCACCCUGUGUAACUAUGUAUAUAACUCCUUUUUCUUAGAAAACCGCGAGAAUGUAACAAUUGCAUGAACCUGCCAAUAGGAAUGUAGAGAGAUGGACUCAGUCCACCUUAAGCAAGCUACCCAGUGUGCCUUUGUGUAACUGGACCCCUCACCCUACCCCUGACCAAUCAUAAACACUCUCCCUGCCCACUGCUUGAGACCCCCUUAAAGCCUUUGGGUUGGCGAGAGAAUUUCUCUUGGUCCCCGGUGAGCGCUGGAGAUGAGAGCUCGUGCUAGCACGAAUAAAGGUUCUCUUGCAGUUA
Eptesicus fuscus (big brown bat) is the source of this 1098-nucleotide long non-coding RNA. RefSeq lists it as uncharacterized. Lineage: Eukaryota; Metazoa; Chordata; Mammalia; Chiroptera; Vespertilionidae. The transcript has 2 exons. The record is from RefSeq and is a predicted model, not a curated record.